This 981-nucleotide ribosomal RNA is filed under the name human oral metagenome. RNAcentral describes it as "bacterial LSU rRNA". It matches the Rfam family "Bacterial large subunit ribosomal RNA", at positions 1946 to 2925 of the family's 2925-position model. The record is from RNAcentral.
CGGUCCUAAGGUAGCGAAAUUCCUUGUCGGGUAAGUUCCGACCUGCACGAAUGGCAUAAUGAUGGCCAGGCUGUCUCCACCCGAGACUCAGUGAAAUUGAAAUCGCCGUGAAGAUGCGGUGUACCCGCGGCUAGACGGAAAGACCCCGUGAACCUUUACUAUAGCUUGACACUGAACAUUGAAUUUUGAUGUGUAGGAUAGGUGGGAGACUUUGAAGUAGUCACGCCAGUGAUUAUGGAGUCGUCCUUGAAAUACCACCCUUUAACGUUUGAUGUUCUAACGAAGAUUGCGAAACGUGGUCUCGGACAGUGUCUGGUGGGUAGUUUGACUGGGGCGGUCUCCUCCCAAAGAGUAACGGAGGAGCACGAAGGUUUGCUAAUCACGGUCGGACAUCGUGAGGUUAGUGCAAUGGUAUAAGCAAGCUUAACUGCGAGACAGACAAGUCGAGCAGGUACGAAAGUAGGUCAUAGUGAUCCGGUGGUUCUGCAUGGAAGGGCCAUCGCUCAACGGAUAAAAGGUACUCCGGGGAUAACAGGCUGAUACCGCCCAAGAGUUCAUAUCGACGGCGGUGUUUGGCACCUCGAUGUCGGCUCAUCACAUCCUGGGGCUGAAGUAGGUCCCAAGGGUAUGGCUGUUCGCCAUUUAAAGUGGUACGCGAGCUGGGUUUAGAACGUCGUGAGACAGUUCGGUCCCUAUCUGCCGUGGGCGUUGGAGAAUUGAUUGGGGCUGCUCCUAGUACGAGAGGACCGGAGUGGACGCAUCACUGGUGUUCCAGUUGUCUCGCCAGAGGCAUUGCUGGGUAGCUACAUGCGGAAGAGAUAAGUGCUGAAAGCAUCUAAGCACGAAACUUGCCAAGAGAUGAGUUCUCCCUGUCUUUAAGACAGUAAGGGUUGUUUAAGACUAAGACGUAGAUAGGUGCGGUGUGUAAGUGUAGUGAUACAUUGAGCUAACGCAUACUAAUUGCCCGAGAGGCUUAGCCAU